RNAcentral lists this ribosomal RNA (666 nucleotides) under uncultured Bacteroidota bacterium. Its description in RNAcentral is "bacterial SSU rRNA". It matches the Rfam family "Bacterial small subunit ribosomal RNA", at positions 807 to 1482 of the family's 1533-position model. Lineage: Bacteria; Pseudomonadati; Bacteroidota. The record is from RNAcentral.
CGAUGGAUACUCGACAUCAGCGAUAAACUGUUGGUGUCUGAGCGAAAGCAUUAAGUAUCCCACCUGGGAAGUACGAUCGCAAGAUUGAAACUCAAAGGAAUUGGCGGGGGUCCGCACAAGCGAUGGAGCAUGUGGUUUAAUUCGAUGAUACGCGAGGAACCUUACCUGGGCUAGAAUGCUGGGAGACCGUGGGUGAAAGCUCACUUUGUAGCAAUACACUGCCAGUAAGGUGCUGCAUGGCUGUCGUCAGCUCGUGCCGUGAGGUGUUGGGUUAAGUCCCGCAACGAGCGCAACCCCCAUCACUAGUUGCCAUCAGGUAACGCUGGGAACUCUAGUGAAACUGCCGUCGUAAGACGUGAGGAAGGAGGGGAUGAUGUCAAGUCAUCAUGGCCUUUAUGCCCAGGGCUACACACGUGCUACAAUGGGGCGUACAAAGGGCUGCAACAUAGUGAUAUGAAGCUAAUCCCAAAAAACGCCUCUCAGUUCAGAUUGGAGUCUGCAACUCGACUCCAUGAAGCUGGAAUCGCUAGUAAUCGUAGAUCAGCAACGCUACGGUGAAUACGUUCCCGGACCUUGCACACACCGCCCGUCAAGCCAUGGAAGCUGGGUGUACCUAAAGUCGGUAACCGUAAGGAGCCGCCUAGGGUAAAACUAGUGACUGGGGCU